This 253-nucleotide ribosomal RNA is filed under the name uncultured bacterium. RNAcentral's name for it is "partial 16S ribosomal RNA". It matches the Rfam family "Bacterial small subunit ribosomal RNA", at positions 524 to 776 of the family's 1533-position model. The record is from RNAcentral.
UACGGGGGGGGUAAGCGUUGUUCGGAAUUACUGGGCGUAAAGGGCUCGUAGGCGGCCAACUAAGUCGGACGUGAAAUCCCUCAGCUUAACUGGGGAACUGCGUCCGAUACUGGAUGGCUUGGAUUUGGGAGAGGGAUGCGGAAUUCCAGGUGUAGCGGUGAAAUGCGCAGAUAUCAGGAGGAACACCGGUGGCGAAGGCGGGUCUCUGGGCCGAUACUGACGCUGAGGAGCGAAAGCGUGGGGAGCAAACAGG